RNAcentral lists this ribosomal RNA (375 nucleotides) under uncultured bacterium. RNAcentral describes it as "bacterial SSU rRNA". It matches the Rfam family "Bacterial small subunit ribosomal RNA", at positions 521 to 896 of the family's 1533-position model. The record is from RNAcentral.
UAAUACGUACUGUGCGAACGUUAUUCGGAAUCACUGGGCUUAAAGGGUGUGUAGGCGGUUGAUUAAGUAGGGUGUGAAAGGCCUUGGCCUAACCAAGGCAUUGCGCUCUAAACUGGUCGACUUGAGUAAGAUAGGGGUGUGCGGAACUUCCAGUGGAGCGGUGAAAUGUGUUGAUAUUGGAAGGAACGCCGGUGGCGAAAGCGGCACACUGGGUCUUAACUGACGCUGAGACACGAAAGCCAGGGGAGCGAACGGGAUUAGAUACCCCGGUAGUCCUGGCCGUAAACGAUGAGCACUAGUUGGGAGGGGCUUCGGCCCAUCCGAACGCAGCGAAAGCAUUAAGUGCUCCGCCUGGGGAGUAUGGUCGCAAGGCUG